CAAGACCUGCGCUUUUGGAGCGGCCGAUGCCUGAUUAGCUUGUUGGUAAGGUAAAAGCUUACCAAGGCUUCGAUCAGUAGCUGGUCUGAGAGGACGGCCAGCCUCACUGGGUCUGAGACACGGCCCAGACUCCUACGGGAGGCAGCAGUGGGGAAUUUUGGAUAAUGGGGGCAACCCUGAUCCAGCCAUGCCGCGUGAGUGAAGAAGGCCUUCGGGUUGUAAAGCUCUUUCAGCCGGAACGAAACGGUUACGGUUAAUACCCGUGAUUACUGACGGUACCGGAAGAAGAAGCACCGGCUAACUACGUGCCAGCAGCCGCGGUAAUACGUAGGGUGCGAGCGUUAAUCGGAAUUACUGGGCGUAAAGCGUGCGCAGGUGGUUUUGUAAGUCAGAUGUGAAAGCCCCGGGCUCAACCUGGGAACU
RNAcentral lists this ribosomal RNA (423 nucleotides) under uncultured bacterium. RNAcentral describes it as "bacterial SSU rRNA". It matches the Rfam family "Bacterial small subunit ribosomal RNA", at positions 207 to 622 of the family's 1533-position model. The record is from RNAcentral.